AAUUUAUUUAUGUAUUUAAAAUGGCUGUGUGGAAGGAGUAAGUCUUAUUAUGGAUGUUUUCAUAACAUUUAAAUGUUUUUUAGUCUCUGCUAGAAACACUAAAAUACUGAGUAAAUUUUACGACACUAUUUUAGAGUGCGUUUGAAUCAGCGCAUGCGCAUUGGGACAAACGAAAGAACCGCGCAGAUGUCCAUUGUCCGUCCGUUCGUUGGCAGCAGACAGAGUUGUGAAUAUCUCCGGAAUCUCUCAGGCGACUGUUUUUGUAUUUAGCCGGCUGGGACAUGAGUUCAGAUCAAGAUCUACAGAUCAAGGAGGAGUUUUGGAGAAUAACUACAAUUUCUCUAGAGCAAAGCUUCAUGUACAAACUAGACCACUAUACACCAAAGCUUACUGCCCUGAUGAAAGCCAAGGGAGGUGUUGUGGGGACCAGGCUGAGGCCCCAUCUGGAUAAACUGAGUCAGAACCCAAGCACUGACAUGUGACGUGACGCAGUUAUCAGUGGCCUCAUACUAUUCCUUGGUGAAAAAGAAGAGAAACUUUUCGAAGAUUGCCUGGAGGACAAUCGCAGUGAUGCCACUCAACACAUAGUCAAGAUCCUGGUUGUCCAUGGUACUGAUGGAGAAGAACCAGUAGAUGUUUCCAUCAUUCUUGAAGGGAAGGAGGUAUUGACACGAUGCAACAGCACAGCCAAAGCUUGCACGUUGCUAAUGGGACUGAUUUAUUCCCUGAACCUUGCCUACCCCUCGACUCUGCGCUACACCUUUGAGGUGUUUCAAAAACUUUUCCUGGAACUGAAUGGGAUAAAGCUGUCACCAAAAGUACAUCUUUAAAGUUGAAGUUGCUGUCUGAAAGGAAUUUUCUUUCUUAAAUGUUCCUAAUGUUGUCAACAAAGGCAACUGCUGUCAUUCAUGCUCACAAGGUAAAAAAAAAGUUAAAAAUAACCUUUGUUUUAAAGGUUUUAACAGAGGAUUUGAUGUUGUCCUCAAACUUUAAUGUUUUAACCGAAUGCUAAUAUAAAUAUGUUAAUGGAUGUUGUUGUUUAGAAUGUUGUUCAUGUCAGUACAGCAUAUUUUGUCAGGUCAAACCCUCAAUCUGUUUUGUCACCUGAUGUGCCCUGUUUAGUUUAAUGCGUCCAGGAGUCAAAAACAUUUUGAUUUUCCAGUGAUAUGCUUUUUUUCUGUAUAGCGUAAUGAUCACUCAGUAAAGGUAAACUUUUUUCUUUAUUGAUUUACUGCUGCUGAGAUUUAAUUUAAUUUUUUGUCAUGUGAAAUGUUGACUGCUGUUUCAUGUACAGUUCUACAUAGCUGUAUAAAAUGAGGUGUUACGUAAGGUACCUGACAAAGGUUUAUGAAUAAAUAAUGGAAUUGUAUUUUAGCCGUGUGAUUAUUAAUAGUAUUUGGUAAUAUUUAUCAAAAGAGAAUUUGCAACAUUUACAUAAAUGAAUUAGGUAAUAUAACUUCAAACAACCAAGUAAUUAAAAUGAUCAAACAGGAUAAAAAGUACUUGAUAAUUUUACGACAGUAAAUAUCAAAGAUAAAUAAAAUCUACUCAAUAUUUUGAUGUUGUAAAUGUAUAUAUAUAUACAAAAAAUAUAGUAUAUUGUACUUAAUUUGUGUGUGUAAUAAAAAUUGAAACAUCAGUUAAACUAAGUAACACUUACCUAAUAUUUUCACAAAUGUUACCAUCAGAAAUAAGUAGAUUUUACUUAAUACUAUUAAGGAACUUUUACUGGAUAUCACAG
Gasterosteus aculeatus aculeatus (three-spined stickleback) is the source of this 1741-nucleotide long non-coding RNA. The record is from Ensembl. NCBI's taxonomy places the organism in Eukaryota, Metazoa, Chordata, Actinopteri, Perciformes, Gasterosteidae.